Molecule: ribosomal RNA, 1217 nt
Filed under: uncultured bacterium
Lineage: Bacteria
Description: bacterial SSU rRNA
Rfam family: Bacterial small subunit ribosomal RNA
Source: RNAcentral
GCUCAGAUUGAACGCUGGCGGCAUGCCUAACACAUGCAAGUCGAACGAACCUAGAAGGAAGCUUGCUUCUUUCUAGGUUAGUGGCGGACGGGCGAGUAACGCGUGAGCAACCUGCCUUUCAGAGGGGGACAACGGCUGGAAACGGCCGCUAAUACCGCAUAACAUAGCGAGAUCGCAUGGUCUUGCUAUCAAAGGAGCAAUCCGCUGAAAGAUGGGCUCGCGUCCGAUUAGCUAGAUGGUGUGGUAAUGGCGCACCAUGGCAUCGAUCGGUAGCCGAACUGGGAGGUUGAUCGGCCGCAUUGGGACUGAGACACGGCCCAGACUCCUACGGGAGGCAGCAGUGGGGGAUAUUGGUCAAUGGGGGAAACCCUGAACCAGCAAUGCCGCGUGAGGGAAGACGGUCUUCGGAUUGUAAACCUAAGUUGUCGGGGACGAAGAAAUGACGGUACCCGAAGAGAAAGCUCCGGCUAACUACGUGCCAGCAGCCGCGGUAAUACGUAGGGAGCGAGCGUUGUCCGGAUUUACUGGGUGUAAAGGGUGCGUAGGCGGGGAUGCAAGUCCGUCGUGAAAUGCCGGGGCUCAACUCCGGAGCUGCGAUGGAAACUGUAUCUCUUGAGUGAAGUAGAGGCAGGCGGAAUUCCUAGUGUAGCGGUGAAAUGCGUAGAUAUUAGGAGGAACACCAGUGGCGAAGGCGGCCUGCUGGGCUUUAACUGACGCUGAGGCACGAAAGCAUGGGGAGCAAACAGGAUUAGAUACCCUGGUAGUCCAUGCCGUAAACGAUGAUUGCUAGGUGUGGGGGGACUGACCCCUUCCGUGCCGGAGUUAACACAAUAGGUAAUCCACCUGGGGAGUACGGCCGCAAGGCUGAAACUCAAAGGAAUUGACGGGGGCCCGCACAAGCAGUGGAGUAUGUGGUUUAAUUCGACGCAACGCGAAGAACCUUACCAGGUCUUGACAUCCAACUAACGAAGCAGAGAUGCAUCAGGUGCCCUUCGGGGAAAGUUGAGACAGGUGGUGCAUGGUUGUCGUCAGCUCGUGUCGUGAGAUGUUGGGUUAAGUCCCGCAACGAGCGCAACCCUUGUUAUUAGUUGCUACAUUUAGUUGAGCACUCUAAUGAGACUGCCGUUGACAAAACGGAGGAAGGUGGGGACGACGUCAAAUCAUCAUGCCCCUUAUGACCUGGGCUACACACGUACUACAAUGGCCGCCAACAAAGG